This 675-nucleotide ribosomal RNA is filed under the name uncultured bacterium. RNAcentral's name for it is "bacterial SSU rRNA". It matches the Rfam family "Bacterial small subunit ribosomal RNA", at positions 93 to 740 of the family's 1533-position model. The record is from RNAcentral.
AACCGGCGCACGGGUGAGUAACACGUGGACAACCUGCCUUAGAGUCUGGGAUAACCCGUCGAAAGACGAGCUAAUACCGGAUAAGACCACGGGAAGUUCGCUUCCUGAGGUAAAAGAUGGCCUCUGCUCCUGCAAGCUAUCACUUUGAGAGGGGUCCGCGUCCUAUCAGCUAGUUGGCGAGGUAACGGCUCACCAAGGCUAAGACGGGUAGCUGGUCUGAGAGGAUGGUCAGCCACACUGGGACUGAGACACGGCCCAGAGUCCUACGGGAUGCAGCAGUCAGGAAUAUUGCGCAAUGGAGGAAACUCUGACGCAGCGACGCCGCGUGGGUGAUGAAGGCCUUCGGGUCGUAAAGCCCUGUCGGAGGGGAAGAAAAGUCUGUUGGCUAAUAUCCAGCGGACCUUUGACGGUACCCUCAAAGGAAGCACCGGCUAACUCCGUGCCAGCAGCCGCGGUAAGACGGAGGGUGCAAGCGUUGUUCGGAUUGACUGGGCGUAAAGGGCGUGUAGGCGGUUUGUCAAGUCGGGUGUGAAAGCCUGGGGCUCAGCCCCAGAAGUGCAUCCGAAACUAGCGAGCUAGAGCGCGAUAGAGGAGGGUGGAAUUCCUGGUGUAGCGGUGAAAUGCGUAGAUAUCAGGAGGAACACCGGCGGCGAAGGCGGCCCUCUGGAUCGUUGC